UUCUUCUUCUUCUUCUUCUUCCGAAUACGGGAGUAGACUCCUAGGUAGGAGUGUAAAACUUCCCGGAACUUGUGUGCUAUGUACAUAUGGACUUAAUUUAAAAAUAAUAUGACAAAGAAAAAUCAUUAACAAUAACAUAUAUACAUUAUGUACAGUGGCUUUGUAGUUUAAUAAGUUGUUGUGGAUCCUUCAAGUGUUAGAGUGGAUAUGCCACUUUUGAAGGAUUCCAGGGUGUCAGACAUACCUAUUGCUUCAGGUAGUGAGUUCCAGUCCGAAAUAGUGCGAGGAUAAAAUGAAAAUUUAUAGAAAUCUUUAUUUGUUGAUAUUUGCCUAAAUUUAUGUUUCCCCCUAGUACGUCUAUCAGAUAUUGUUAAAUUGUCCUUAGGAACUUCAACUAACCCCCAAUUUAUUUUAUACAGCAUAGUUAAUCUAGCUUUUUUUCCUUCUUAUUUCUAAAUUUUCCCAUUCCAAAGAUUUAAUUAAAUUUGAAACUGCUCCAGGUGAUCUGUCUUUAUAAUCAUUGAAGACAAACCUGGCUGCCUUACGCUGUACCUGCUCAACCUGAGUGAUGUGUUGUUUUUUGUACGGAUCCCAGACAGGGGAAGAGUAUUCGACGACUGGACGGACAAGUGAUGUGUACGUAAGGUUUUUAACCUUACGUGUGCAGUUUUUCAAGUUCCUACGAAGAAAACCUAAGGUUUUAUUUGCCUUACAAGUAAUAUUGUUUAUAUGUGUUCCCCAAUCAAGAUCAUGGCUUAUAGUUACGCCUAAAUAUUUACUGUCUUUUACUGCUUCUAAAACAUGAUUGUGCAAUAUAUAAUCAAAAGAGGAAGGUUUACUUUUUUUUAGAAAUAUGAAUUACAUAACACUUCUCAGGAUUAAAAUUCAUUUGCCAG
This 896-nucleotide long non-coding RNA is filed under the name Mytilus galloprovincialis (Mediterranean mussel). Lineage: Eukaryota; Metazoa; Mollusca; Bivalvia; Mytilida; Mytilidae. The record is from RNAcentral.